UGGGGAAUUUUGGACAAUGGGGGCAACCCUGAUCCAGCCAUGCCGCGUGUGUGAAGAAGGCCUGCGGGUUGUAAAGCACUUUUGGCAGGGAUGAAAAGCACUGGAUUAAUAACCCAGUGUGUUGACCUAACCUGCAGAAGAAGCACCGGCUAACUCUGUGCCAGCAGCCGCGGUAAUACAGGGGGUGCGAGCGUUAAUCGGAAUUACUGGGCGUAAAGCGCACGUAGGCGGAUUUGUCAGUCAGGGGUGAAAUCCCGGGGCUCAACCUCGGAACUGCCCUUGAUACAGCAAGUCUUGAGUUCGAGAGAGGUGGGUGGAAUUCCUAGUGUAGAGGUGAAAUUCGUAGAUAUUAGGAAGAACACCGGUGGCGAAGGCGGCCCACUGGCUCGAUACUGACGCUGAGGUGCGAAAGCGUGGGGAGCAAACAGGAUUAGAUACCCUCGUAGUCCCUGAGCGGGCUGGCAAGGCGCAU
Molecule: ribosomal RNA, 472 nt
Filed under: uncultured bacterium
Lineage: Bacteria
Description: bacterial SSU rRNA
Rfam family: Bacterial small subunit ribosomal RNA
Source: RNAcentral